RNAcentral lists this long non-coding RNA (1541 nucleotides) under Amborella trichopoda. RNAcentral describes it as "long non-coding RNA (ATRI_LNC003212)". The record is from RNAcentral. Lineage: Eukaryota; Viridiplantae; Streptophyta; Magnoliopsida; Amborellales; Amborellaceae.
UACCACUAAUUAGAAUUUUUUUAUUUAAUAAAUAGAACCAACACGAUGCUUAUGGGAAUAAAAAAGACACAAGAAAAGAUAUUGUAAAGCACAAAGUAAAAGAUGUCGGAGAUCACCUCAACUAUGCUUAGUACAUCCCAUACUGGGUCUCCUCAUCUAAUGGUAUACGAGACCAAUGGUGUAUCUUGGAUCUAACAAGUAUGGGAAAGCUUAAUGCUAGAACCCUUAAUCAAUGUGAGAGUAUAGAACAAUACUAAAUCCAAGGCCUCAAUGCCUUAUCUAAAUGAGUGGGGCAUUGCCCCUCUUCAUUUCCUAAGUGGGGCAUGCUCCUUCCUUCUACCCUUGACUAUUAAGAGAGAGAGAUUAGAGAUAAACUUUAGGAGAGAGAGAGAGAGAGUUUGCGACCAUCUAUAUUUCUUCAUUCCAUCCAAAGCCACUUUGAUUCUUCAUUUGCUUGGCAUUCUUGUAGUUCUUUGAUUAAGUUCUAAGUUUAUUUUUAAAAACAUACAUUCUCAUAUUCAUUCCAAGGUGCACAUUGAACUCCUGCUCAAUUGCACUCUAUUGCUCAUUUUUAAAAGCAGAUUUGGGUAUGCAUUGCUCAACAAGUAGCUCCAACAAAACUGCCUCCAUUUGUAAUAUCCAUUUAAUUUUCCUCCCCGUGUUGGGAUUUGACUAAGUCACUGGAACUUCGUUCUCCAUGUCUAACAUAAAUAUCAAAUAUCACUAUGAUGUCAAACUUUUGGGAAAAUUUUCACAUGGAAUGCAUUCAUCCAAUACAUCAAUAUAAAAUACAAUUAUAAAGCAAAGUUAUACAUGACUAAAAUAGAAAUUUGGAUAGAUUUAAAAGGGUAUGAAAGCAACAUACAUGUUAUCAUAAUGUCUAAUAGCAAAACAUAAAGCGAAGUUUUCAUCCCAUAACUGUUUACAUGAAUAUAUCUCAAUGAGUCCUAUAAUCUGCCUAUAUUUGCAUUGCAAGCUCAUCUUUGAACUUAGAUCAUUAAUCUCUCUCCCUUUGAUUCCUCCCAAAUACUUCCAACUCUAAAACUUCCACUAACUGUGGUUGGAUUCGAUCACAUAUUAUCUAUUCAUAAUCAAGAAGAUCACCAUUUUCACCAAUGAUAAAAUUGUGCAAAAUACAACCUGCAACAAUUGUCUUGACUUGGGUUUUAAUCGGGUAGGUAGUAGUUACUUUCAAGCAGUGUUUGAAAAAUCAGCGAUCCGAUCCAGAAUUGGGCGAUCAGGAUCGGGAAUUGGUUAGACCAUUUCGGAUUUGGCCAUAAAACGAGAUUCGGCCUUUUUUCUAUACUAAAUCGUCAUUUUGACGUCAUAAACUCGGACAUAUCACCGAUUCCAUAAUGAAAAUCAGACGUUACCAUGGUUUAUUUUAAAAAUGGUAUACUUACUACAUGUGGUCGCACCCUACCGUAAGUCAAAUAACCGCCGCAUGCUUCGCUUGGCACGCAAGUACCACUCAUAAUGGUUGAAUUACUUUUAUAGUGGUUUGUAGUCCCACAAUUUUUCGAUGGGGGACAUUGUUGUUG